This 397-nucleotide non-coding RNA is filed under the name Pongo abelii (Sumatran orangutan). The record is from RNAcentral. Lineage: Eukaryota; Metazoa; Chordata; Mammalia; Primates; Hominidae.
GUGUUCUGAGCCUUAAGGUAUGGUUGCAGCAAUGACGCAUUGCAGAACCAAACAAUUUAGUCCUUAGGGUAGACUAUCCAAAAGCCAAUAAACAACAACAAAAAAUAAGCUUUCAAACUAACAAGAGAAGACAAGAUUGCAGCGCCUUCAUAACAGUGUUGCUUUAUUGAUGCAAUGCAAGAAAAACUACGUUAGAAUCUAUUGAUUCUCUUUGAGAUUUAGUGAUAUGCUUUAUUCAAAUUCUAUUCACAAACCACUUCCUCCACUUGUCUUUCACAGGAACUGAAAUUGGCCAGUUACAAGCAGAAUUGGUUCUACUGUCCUUAGAAUCACAGAAGCAGACAUGUUUUAGAAUACAAAGACACUAAGCUUUCUUUGGGAAACAUGUCCUGUUGAG